AACGAACGCUGGCGGCAUGCCUAACACAUGCAAGUCGAACGAAGCCUUCGGGCUUAGUGGCGCACGGGUGCGUAACGCGUGGGAAUCUGCCCUUGGGUUCGGAAUAACAGUUAGAAAUGACUGCUAAUACCGGAUGAUGUCUUCGGACCAAAGAUUUAUCGCCCAAGGAUGAGCCCGCGUAGGAUUAGGUAGUUGGUGGGGUAAUGGCCCACCAAGCCGACGAUCCUUAGCNGGUCUGAGAGGAUGAUCAGCCACACUGGGACUGAGACACGGCCCAGACUCCUACGGGAGGCAGCAGUGGGGAAUAUUGGACAAUGGGCGAAAGCCUGAUCCAGCAAUGCCGCGUGAGUGAUGAAGGCCUUAGGGUUGUAAACCUCUGUCACCGGGGGAAGAAACGCUUCAGGUUAAUAUCCUGAAGCCUGACUUAACCCGGAGAGGAAGCAGUGGCUAACUCUGUGCCAGCAG
This 465-nucleotide ribosomal RNA is filed under the name uncultured bacterium. Its description in RNAcentral is "bacterial SSU rRNA". It matches the Rfam family "Bacterial small subunit ribosomal RNA", at positions 29 to 514 of the family's 1533-position model. The record is from RNAcentral.